RNAcentral lists this transfer RNA (69 nucleotides) under Cnemaspis affinis. Its description in RNAcentral is "tRNA-Ala". It matches the Rfam family "tRNA". Rfam says of the family: Transfer RNA (tRNA) molecules are approximately 80 nucleotides in length. Their secondary structure includes four short double-helical elements and three loops (D, anti-codon, and T loops). Lineage: Eukaryota; Metazoa; Chordata; Lepidosauria; Squamata; Gekkonidae. The record is from RNAcentral. RNAcentral also lists the same sequence under 1 other name.
GAGGUUUUAGCUUAAUUAAAGUGUCUGAGUUGCAGUCAGGUGAUGUCGAUUAAAGUUCUGCAGGCCUUC